This 271-nucleotide long non-coding RNA is filed under the name Portunus trituberculatus (swimming crab). Its description in RNAcentral is "uncharacterized LOC123502432". The record is from RNAcentral. Lineage: Eukaryota; Metazoa; Arthropoda; Malacostraca; Decapoda; Portunidae.
GACAUUUUGCGUAGAAGAAGAAGGAGAAGAUCCACCAUUGCUAGCUCUUUUGAGAUUUACAGUUUUUGAACAUUUGUGGAGCAGAGGUGCACCAUGGCUUGCCACAAUAUCACAAUGGGUUCUUGGAGAGCCGCUGCUGUUGACUUGCUGCAUGUCUCCUCUCUGCGGCAAAACUCCACAAAUACUCCACUCACCAAGUUCCAGAGGGAGAGAUUGUGUUAAGAAUAUGGAAAAAGACGGACCAAGGCAAGAAGAGGAGGAGGAAGAGGAA